Molecule: ribosomal RNA, 599 nt
Filed under: uncultured bacterium
Lineage: Bacteria
Description: bacterial SSU rRNA
Rfam family: Bacterial small subunit ribosomal RNA
Source: RNAcentral
CCUACGGGAGGCAGCAGUGGGGAAUCUUGCGCAAUGGGCGAAAGCCUGACGCAGCAACGCCGCGUGCGGGAAGAAGGCUUUCGGGCUGUAAACCGCUUUCAGCAGGAACGAAAAUGACGGUACCUGCAGAAGAAGGAGCGGCCAACUAUGUGCCAGCAGCCGCGGUGAUACAUAGGCUUCAAGCGUUGUCCGGAUUUAUUGGGCGUAAAGAGUUCGUAGGCGGUCGAGUAAGUCGGGUGUGAAAAUUCUGGGCUCAACCCAGAGACGCCACCCGAUACUGCUUGACUUGAGUUCGAUAGGGGAGUGGGGAAUUCCUAGUGUAGCGGUGAAAUGCGCAGAUAUUAGGAGGAACACCGGUGGCGAAGGCGCCACUCUGGAUCGAUACUGACGCUGAGGAACGAAAGCAUGGGUAGCAAACAGGAUUAGAUACCCUGGUAGUCCAUGCCGUAAACGGUGGGCACUAGGUGUGGGUUUCCUAUUAACGAAAUCCGCGCCGUCGCUAACGCAUUAAGUGCCCCGCCUGGGGAGUACGGUCGCAGACUAAACUACAAGAAGUAGACGGCGUGAGACGUGCCGACGGACGACGACGAGGGAGUAGG